RNAcentral lists this ribosomal RNA (159 nucleotides) under Lacunaria crenata. RNAcentral's name for it is "5.8S ribosomal RNA". It matches the Rfam family "5.8S ribosomal RNA". From Rfam's summary of the family: 5.8S ribosomal RNA (5.8S rRNA) is a component of the large subunit of the eukaryotic ribosome. It is transcribed by RNA polymerase I as part of the 45S precursor that also contains 18S and 28S rRNA. RNAcentral also lists the same sequence under 1 other name. The record is from RNAcentral. Lineage: Eukaryota; Viridiplantae; Streptophyta; Magnoliopsida; Malpighiales; Ochnaceae.
CGACUCUCGGCAACGGAUAUCUCGGCUCUCGCAUCGAUGAAGAACGUAGCGAAAUGCGAUACUUGGUGUGAAUUGCAGAAUCCCGCGAACCAUCGAGUCUUUGAACGCAAGUUGCGCCCGAAGCCUUCUGGCCGAGGGCACGUCUGCCUGGGUGUCACG